This 83-nucleotide transfer RNA is filed under the name Deltaproteobacteria bacterium. RNAcentral's name for it is "tRNA-Leu". It matches the Rfam family "tRNA". From Rfam's summary of the family: Transfer RNA (tRNA) molecules are approximately 80 nucleotides in length. Their secondary structure includes four short double-helical elements and three loops (D, anti-codon, and T loops). Lineage: Bacteria; Pseudomonadati; Myxococcota; Myxococcia. The record is from RNAcentral. RNAcentral also lists the same sequence under 1 other name.
GGCCGAGUGGCGGAAUGGCAGACGCGGCGGACUCAAAAUCCGUUGCCCGAAAGGGCGUGAGGGUUCGACUCCCUCCUCGGCCA